UAUUAAUUGAAAAAUAAAAAUAAAAUUAAUAAUUUUUUUAUUAGUUUCUCAUUAUUCUCAAUUUAUAAAUCAUGUUCUUAUCAUAUUUAUUGUUUAUCCCUUAUAUAUUUUAGCGUAAACAGGCCGUUGUUGGCUGUGUGACAUUCGUUAGAUUUUGUACCGUGGCGUAUGGUACGCGGUAUUAGUCCAGUCGAACUACACAUAGUGUGCGAUGCCUGAUAAAUGUGUCACGGGGCGCGGGACUCCGUUUAACACGAAGCGAUAUUGGACACAGUACCGCGUCGCUUAUUAUUAUAUUAUUAAUAAAUUUUGUAAUUUAUUAUUUCAGAUGAAAAUUCUAAGACUGUACGAUCUACUUGUUAUGCGUGUCAAGAAGUAUUUCGCAAAAAUAGAGAAGAAAUAAAUUUGACUAAUUGUUGUAAGAACACUGUAUGUGAUAAUUGUUUUCAUGAAAAAUAUUCUCAGUAUAUUGUAAGAAUUCAAAAACAGUGUCCAUGUUAUAAGGAGUGUAGUAGUAGUGGUAAUUCUAUUUCAAAUAUGUUACAUAAGUUUCUAAAUUCUAAAUAUAUUGUUGGCAACAACGUUAGAAAAGACACUAUAAAAUGUUUAGACAAAGAAUGUCGAAUUUGCUUUGGGCAUUCAAAAAAUUGAAAAUACAGUAUUUCUCUAUUUGUCCACGUAUUAUUUGUAAAAAUUGCUCCAAAAUAAUGAAAAGUACCAAUAAUAUCAACACCCAUUUGUAAGACAUAAUGUUACAUAAAGAAAAAAAUGGAUACAAUGCUUUUCUGAAGAUGCCUUGACAUAUUUUGUAAUGACUCUGUAUAAUAUCGUUAUCUAAACAUAAUUUUGAAAUUUAUUAAGCAAAUUUUAAUUAAAAAAUAUGUAUUAACAUCUCAAUUUUCUAUCAAUUAUAAUUUUAAUUGUCUUAUUAAUAAUAGUAAUUUGUAUUCUCAGUUUUAUUUUACUUCCUCAUUAUUUUAAUUACUUUAUUUAAAUUUUUAAUUAGAAAAAUUUCAUUAUAAAAAAUUUUAAAUGUAAUAUUCAUAAUUUAAUUUUGAUUCACACUGAUAUAAUUACAAAUGUAUUAAAAUAAUAGUUAUAAUUAAAAAAAAUCAUAAAUAGGAAUAAAACAAACAGUAAUAGAAUUUCUCUUAAUAUAAUGCUGUAUUUUUUAAGAAUAAACAUUUAUAAAAUACAAACGCUUACACAAU
Molecule: long non-coding RNA, 1211 nt
Organism: Daktulosphaira vitifoliae (grape phylloxera)
Lineage: Eukaryota; Metazoa; Arthropoda; Insecta; Hemiptera; Phylloxeridae
Exons: 3
Source: RefSeq, a predicted model, not a curated record